AGAAACUUAGGUUAACUCAUAAAACCAUGGGCCUUCAAAGCCCAAUAUAGCGGUUAAACUCCACUAGCUUCUG
RNAcentral lists this transfer RNA (73 nucleotides) under Brachymeles talinis. RNAcentral's name for it is "tRNA-Trp". It matches the Rfam family "tRNA". Rfam says of the family: Transfer RNA (tRNA) molecules are approximately 80 nucleotides in length. Their secondary structure includes four short double-helical elements and three loops (D, anti-codon, and T loops). Further hydrogen bonds mediate the characteristic L-shaped molecular structure. tRNAs have two regions of fundamental functional importance: the anti-codon, which is responsible for specific mRNA codon recognition, and the 3' end, to which the tRNAs corresponding amino acid is attached (by aminoacyl-tRNA synthetases). tRNAs cope with the degeneracy of the genetic code in two manners: having more than one tRNA (with a specific anti-codon) for a particular amino acid; and 'wobble' base-pairing, i.e. permitting non-standard base-pairing at the 3rd anti-codon position. Lineage: Eukaryota; Metazoa; Chordata; Lepidosauria; Squamata; Scincidae. The record is from RNAcentral.